Molecule: ribosomal RNA, 485 nt
Filed under: uncultured bacterium
Lineage: Bacteria
Description: bacterial SSU rRNA
Rfam family: Bacterial small subunit ribosomal RNA
Source: RNAcentral
UGGGCCCGAGUUUGAUCCUGGCUCAGAACGAACGCUGGCGGCAUGCCUAACACAUGCAAGUCGAACGGGAUCCAGGCUUCGGCCUGGUGAGAGUGGCGGACGGGUGAGUAACGCGUGGGAACCUGCCCAAUGGUCUGGGAUAACCGCGGGAAACUGCGGCUAAUACCGGAUAAGCCCGAGAGGGGAAAGAUUUAUCGCCGAUGGAGGGGCCCGCGUCAGAUUAGGUAGUUGGUGGGGUAAUGGCCUACCAAGCCUACGAUCUGUAGCUGGUCUGAGAGGAUGAUCAGCCACACUGGGACUGAGAUACAGCCCAGACUCCUACGGGAGGCAGCAGUGGGGAAUAUUGGACAAUGGGGGCAACCCUGAUCCAGCCAUGCCGCGUGAGUGAUGAAGGCCUUCGGGUUGUAAAACUCUUUCGACGGGGACGAUAAUGACGGUACCCGUAGAAGAAGCUCCGGCUAACUUCGUGCCAGCAGCCGCGGUAA